Molecule: ribosomal RNA, 1017 nt
Filed under: Halomonas halmophila
Lineage: Bacteria; Pseudomonadati; Pseudomonadota; Gammaproteobacteria; Oceanospirillales; Halomonadaceae
Description: bacterial SSU rRNA
Rfam family: Bacterial small subunit ribosomal RNA
Source: RNAcentral
UGCAAGUCGAGCGGAAACGAUCCCAGCUUGCUGGGAGGCGUCGAGCGGCGGACGGGUGAGUAAUGCAUAGGAAUCUGCCCGGUAGUGGGGGAUAACUUGAGGAAACUCAAGCUAAUACCGCAUACGCCCUACGGGGGAAAGCAGGGGCUCUUCGGACCUUGCGCUAUCGGAUGAGCUUAUGUCGGAUUAGCUAGUUGGUGAGGUAACGGCUUACCAAGGCGACGAUCCGUAGCUGGUCUGAGAGGAUGAUCAGCCACAUCGGGACUGAGACACGGCCCGAACUCCUACGGGAGGCAGCAGUGGGGAAUAUUGGACAAUGGGCGAAAGCCUGAUCCAGCCAUGCCGCGUGUGUGAAGAAGGCCCUCGGGUUGUAAAGCACUUUCAGUGAGGAAGAAGGCUUGUCGGUUAAUACCCGGCAGGAAGGACAUCACUCACAGAAGAAGCCCCGGCUAACUCCGUGCCAGCAGCCGCGGUAAUACGGAGGGGGCAAGCGUUAAUCGGAAUUACUGGGCGUAAAGCGUGCGUAGGCGGCUUGGUAAGCCGGUUGUGAAAGCCCCGGGCUCAACCUGGGAAUGGCAUCCGGAACUGUCAGGCUAGAGUGCAGGAGAGGAAGGUAGAAUUCCCGGUGUAGCGGUGAAAUGCGUAGAGAUCGGGAGGAAUACCAGUGGCGAAGGCGGCCUUCUGGACUGACACUGACGCUGAGGUACGAAAGCGUGGGUAGCAAACAGGAUUAGAUACCCUGGUAGUCCACGCCGUAAACGAUGUCGACUAGCCGUUGGGGUCCUUGAGACCUUUGUGGCGCAGUUAACGCACUAAGUCGACCGCCUGGGGAGUACGGCCGCAAGGUUAAAACUCAAAUGAAUUGACGGGGGCCCGCACAAGCGGUGGAGCAUGUGGUUUAAUUCGAUGCAACGCGAAGAACCUUACCUACCCUUGACAUCGUGCGAACUUGGUAGAGAUACCUUGGUGCCUUCGGGAGCGCACAGACAGGUGCUGCAUGGCUGUCGUCAGCUCGUG